This 132-nucleotide small nuclear RNA is filed under the name Penicillium oxalicum 114-2. Its description in RNAcentral is "U4 spliceosomal RNA". It matches the Rfam family "U4 spliceosomal RNA". Rfam says of the family: U4 small nuclear RNA (U4 snRNA) is a component of the major U2-dependent spliceosome. The structure of U4 snRNA from yeast and human has been reported. U4 snRNA presents a k-turn RNA motif in the 5p-SL related to recognition of Snu13 protein. The record is from Rfam by way of RNAcentral. Lineage: Eukaryota; Fungi; Ascomycota; Eurotiomycetes; Eurotiales; Aspergillaceae.
AUCCUAGUGCACGGGCUUUACACGUAUCAGUGAGGAGACAUCCGAGAUCGUGUUUUUGCUGGUUGAAAACUACCUAUUGACCACUCUGCCUGGUCUUCGGAUCGGUCAGGAAUUUUUGAACAAACAAAGUUG